GCGGGUAUGGGGGAACUGGUAGACCCGACGUGCUUAAAACACGUUUCGCAAGAGUGAGGAUUCGAAUUCCUCUACCCGCACCA
This 83-nucleotide transfer RNA is filed under the name Salmonella enterica subsp. enterica serovar Infantis. Its description in RNAcentral is "tRNA-Leu". It matches the Rfam family "tRNA". Rfam says of the family: Transfer RNA (tRNA) molecules are approximately 80 nucleotides in length. Their secondary structure includes four short double-helical elements and three loops (D, anti-codon, and T loops). Lineage: Bacteria; Pseudomonadati; Pseudomonadota; Gammaproteobacteria; Enterobacterales; Enterobacteriaceae. The record is from RNAcentral. RNAcentral also lists the same sequence under 8 other names.